RNAcentral lists this ribosomal RNA (465 nucleotides) under uncultured bacterium. Its description in RNAcentral is "partial 16S ribosomal RNA". It matches the Rfam family "Bacterial small subunit ribosomal RNA", at positions 28 to 507 of the family's 1533-position model. The record is from RNAcentral.
GAUGAACGCUGGCGGCGUGCUUAACACAUGCAAGUCGAACGGAAAGACUCCUGCUUUCAGGGGUACUCGAGUGGCGAACGGGGGAGUAUCACGUGGGUGAUCUGCCCUGCACUUCGUGAUAAGCCUGGGAAACUCGGUCGAAUACCGGUUAGGACGAUGGUUUGUAUGCCGUUUUGGAAAGUUUUUCGGUGUGGGAUGGGCUUGCGGCCUAUCCGCCUGUUGGUUGGGUAAUGGGCUACCAAGGCGUCGACGGGUAGCCGGCCUGAGAGGGUGUACGGCCACAUUGGGCCUGAGAUACGGCCCAGACUCCUACGGGAGGCAGCAGUGGGGAAUAUUGCACAAUGGGCGCAAGCCAGAUGCAGCGACGCCGCGUGGGGGAUGACGGCCUUCGGGUUGUAAACACCUUUCGCUGGGGACGAAGCGCAAGUGACGGUACCUGGAGAAGAAGCACCGGCUAACUACGUG